This is a long non-coding RNA of Megalobrama amblycephala (Wuchang bream), 328 nucleotides long. RefSeq lists it as uncharacterized. The record is from RefSeq and is a predicted model, not a curated record. The transcript has 2 exons. Lineage: Eukaryota; Metazoa; Chordata; Actinopteri; Cypriniformes; Xenocyprididae.
AUCUUCCAGCUGAGCAGUCACGUGAGUCAAGCUGCUGUUGCUGCUGAACUGCUAUGCUCUGUAGAGCCGAUCGCUGAAAGGACAUUUAUUGCUGUUUAUUUGUGAUAUUUGCUGCAGAAUCACCUCAAGGUGUUCCCUAUUGACCUGCAAACUAAUGCCUCAACUGCCUGUAACUGAUCUCUACCUGUGAAAUACCUGUACCUCUGUGGCUUAUUUUGAUCAAUACAUCCUCUAAACCUGAUGACCUUCUCCUCUUCCUUAUAUAAAGUUGUGCUCUGACCGGCUUCACUCAUAUAAUUAUAAUUAAAUCAGAUCCUGACAGUCAAAA